GCACGUAGUUAGCCGUUGCUUAUUCCUCAGGUACCGUCGGGUGUCUUCCCUGAGAAAAGAGGUUUACGACCCGAAGGCCUUCAUCCCUCACGCGGCGUGGCUGCGUCAGAGUUUCCUCCAUUGCGCAAAAUUCCUAACUGCUGCCUCCCGUAGGAGUCUGGGCCGUGUCUCAGUCCCAGUCUGGCUGGCCAUCCUCUCAGACCAGCUACGGAUCGAAGCCUUGGUGUGCCGUUACCACACCAACUAGCUAAUCCGCCGCAGGCCCCUCCCAAAGCGUCUUGCGACUUUGAGCACCGAAAUGGAUCGGUGGUCACAUGCGGUAUUAGCGACUCUUUCGAGUCGUUAUCCCCCACUUCGGGGCAGGUCACCUACGUGUUACUCAGCCGUUCGCCACUCACUUCAGUCCUUGCGGACUGAAGUCCGUUCGACUUGCAUGUUUUAUGCACGCCGCCAGCGUUUGUC
This 462-nucleotide ribosomal RNA is filed under the name uncultured bacterium. RNAcentral's name for it is "partial 16S rRNA". The record is from RNAcentral.